GAUAACCAUUGGAAACGAUGGCUAAUACCGCAUAAUAGCUUCGGCUCAAAGAGGGGGACCUUCGGGCCUCUCGCGUCAGGAUAUGCCCAGGUGGGAUUAGCUAGUUGGUGAGGUAAGGGCUCACCAAGGCGACGAUCCCUAGCUGGUCUGAGAGGAUGAUCAGCCACACUGGAACUGAGACACGGUCCAGACUCCUACGGGAGGCAGCAGUGGGGAAUAUUGCACAAUGGGCGCAAGCCUGAUGCAGCCAUGCCGCGUGUAUGAAGAAGGCCUUCGGGUUGUAAAGUACUUUCAGCAGUGAGGAAGGUGGUGCAUUUAAUACGUGCAUCAUUUGACGUUAGCUGCAGAAGAAGCACCGGCUAACUCCGUGCCAGCAGCCGCGGUAAUACGGAGGGUGCGAGCGUUAAUCGGAAUUACUGGGCGUAAAGCGCAUGCAGGUGGUGUGUUAAGUCAGAUGUGAAAGCCCGGGGCUCAACCUCGGAAUUGCAUUUGAAACUGACAGACUAGAGUACUGUAGAGGGGGGUAGAAUUUCAGGUGUAGCGGUGAAAUGCGUAGAGAUCUGAAGGAAUACCGGUGGCGAAGGCGGCCCCCUGGACAGAUACUG
Molecule: ribosomal RNA, 605 nt
Filed under: Vibrio sp. S1209
Lineage: Bacteria; Pseudomonadati; Pseudomonadota; Gammaproteobacteria; Vibrionales; Vibrionaceae
Description: bacterial SSU rRNA
Rfam family: Bacterial small subunit ribosomal RNA
Source: RNAcentral